RNAcentral lists this ribosomal RNA (451 nucleotides) under uncultured bacterium. RNAcentral describes it as "partial 16S ribosomal RNA". It matches the Rfam family "Bacterial small subunit ribosomal RNA", at positions 29 to 523 of the family's 1533-position model. The record is from RNAcentral.
AACGAACGCUGGCGGCAGGCCUAAAACAUGCAAGUCGAACGGGUGUAGCAAUACAUCAGUGGCGCACGGGUGAGUAACGCGUGGGAACGUGCCCUUCAGUACGGGACAACGUCGGGAAACUGACGCUAAUACCGUAUAAUAUCUCCGGAUCAAAGAUUUAUCGCUGAGGGGGCGGCCCGCGUCUGAUUAGCUAGUUGGUGAGGUAAUGGCUGACCAAGGCUACGAUCAGUAGCAGGUCUGAGAGGAUGAUCUGCCACACUGGGACUGAGACACGGCCCAGACUCCUACGGGAGGCAGCAGUUAGGAAUAUUGGACAAUGGGGGAAACCCUGAUCCAGCCAUGCCGCGUGUGUGAUGAAGGCCCUAGGGUUGUAAAGCACUUUCGUUGGGGAUGAUAAUGACCGUACCCAAAGAAGAAGCCACGGCUAAAUUCGUGCCAGCAGCCGCGGUAA